This 486-nucleotide ribosomal RNA is filed under the name uncultured bacterium. RNAcentral's name for it is "partial 16S ribosomal RNA". It matches the Rfam family "Bacterial small subunit ribosomal RNA", at positions 899 to 1397 of the family's 1533-position model. The record is from RNAcentral.
ACUCAAAUGAAUAGACGGGGACCCGCACAAGCGGUGGAGCGUGUGGUUUAAUUCGACGCUAAGCGAAGAACCUUACCAGGGUUUGACAUCCCGGGAAGGCCGCCGAAAGGUGGCUGUGCCCUCGGGAACCCGGUGACAGGUGCUGCAUGGUCGUCGUCAGCUCGUGUCGUGAGAUGUUGGGUUAAGUCCCGCAACGAGCGCAACCCUUGUCGUAUGUUGUAUUUUUCAUACGAGACUGCCUCGGUCAACGAGGAGGAAGGUGGGGAUGACGUCAGAUCAGCAUGGCCCUUAUACCCUGGGCGACACACGCGCUACAAUGGCCGGUACAAUGGGUUGCGAAACCGCAAGGUGAAGCUAAUCCCAUCAAAGCCGGUCUCAGUUCGGAUUGGCGGCUGCAACUCGCCGCCAUGAAGCCGGAAUCGCUAGUAAUCGCAGAUCAGCCACGCUGCGGUGAAUACGUUCUCGGGUCUUGCACACACCGCCCGU